GACAGAGGGGGCAAGCGUUGCUCGGAAUUACUGGGCGUAAAGGGCGCGUAGGCGGCCUUCUAAGUCGAACGUGAAAUCCCCGGGCUCAACCCGGGAACUGCGUCCGAUACUGGAAGGCUUGAAUCCGGGAGAGGGAUGCGGAAUUCCAGGUGUAGCGGUGAAAUGCGUAGAUAUCUGGAGGAACACCGGUGGCGAAGGCGGCAUCCUGGACCGGCAUUGACGCUGAGGCGCGAAAGCCAGGGGAGCAAACGGG
RNAcentral lists this ribosomal RNA (253 nucleotides) under uncultured bacterium. Its description in RNAcentral is "partial 16S ribosomal RNA". It matches the Rfam family "Bacterial small subunit ribosomal RNA", at positions 524 to 776 of the family's 1533-position model. The record is from RNAcentral.